This 503-nucleotide ribosomal RNA is filed under the name uncultured bacterium. Its description in RNAcentral is "partial 16S ribosomal RNA". It matches the Rfam family "Bacterial small subunit ribosomal RNA", at positions 30 to 523 of the family's 1533-position model. The record is from RNAcentral.
AUUGAACGCUGGCGGCAGGCUUAACACAUGCAAGUCGAGCGGGGUGAUGGUGCUUGCACUAUCACUUAGCGGCGGACGGGUGAGUAAUGCUUAGGAAUCUGCCUAUUAGUGGGGGACAACAUCUCGAAAGGGAUGCUAAUACCGCAUACGUCCUACGGGAGAAAGCAGGGGAUCACUUAUGACCUUGCGCUAAUAGAUGAGCCUAAGUCGGAUUAGCUAGUUGGUGGGGUAAAGGCCUACCAAGGCGACGAUCUGUAGCGGGUCUGAGAGGAUGAUCCGCCACACUGGGACUGAGACACGGCCCAGACUCCUACGGGAGGCAGCAGUGGGGAAUAUUGGACAAUGGGGGGAACCCUGAUCCAGCCAUGCCGCGUGUGUGAAGAAGGCCUUAUGGUUGUAAAGCACUUUAAGCGAGGAGGAGACUCUUUUGGUUAAUACCCAAGAUGAGUGGACGUUACUCGCAGAAUAAGCACCGGCUAACUCUGUGCCAGCAGCCGCCGUAA